Magallana angulata is the source of this 898-nucleotide long non-coding RNA. RefSeq lists it as uncharacterized. The transcript has 3 exons. Lineage: Eukaryota; Metazoa; Mollusca; Bivalvia; Ostreida; Ostreidae. The record is from RefSeq and is a predicted model, not a curated record.
UGUGUGUGUUGGUUUUACCGAUGCUCCGAGGACGCGAGUGUAUAAAAACACCUUUACUCCGAGGACGUAAAUUUCUCCCGAGGACUUUUUUCGGGUCCUCGGAAAGAUUCUGUCCCAAUCAACUCAAAAUGACGAAAUAUAUCAUGUGGUGAAAUUUGGUGAAAGUCCUCAGAAGGUCGGUAAAAUGUGAAUGUGCGUUUCCCGGUCACACAGUUUUAUCGGACGCCAUAACACACACUUGUUGUUUUCGAUGCGCGCGCAUCUCGGCGGCGGAAGUGAUGAUCAAUCAAGAUCUCUGGAGGUCGUAAAACGCCGCCACUGUCCAGCGGGAGAGAAAACUGUCAGUUGACCAUAGCAUCACAAGUUACUGUGGCUUCUGGUUAUUUUAAAAGUGAAAAUCAUGAAGAACUUUCGUGUAUUAUUUAGGGAUGGAGGACGGGUGCCAUGUUUACAUUCGCAACGAACAUAAGCAGACCAGUCUAUUUGUUUUCUGGGGGAUAUGACGAUAGGACCAUAUCUAUAGCUGUGUGAUGGGAGGUGAAUUUCAUCAUGACCUGAUGAUGGAAGAAGUAUAAUUGACAGAGUAUCAUGGAAUCCUUGUAACCAACCUUUUCUUGUUGAUGUGGAUUUUUUAAAUUAAGGAAACUGACUAAAAAAAUUACAUGCUGAAGGAUCAAGAAAAUGAUUCCAAUAAAAGAACUAAAAAGCCAUUUCACCAGUUAAAAGUGUGGAUGAUAUUCAGUGUGUUCAAAAAGUUGAAUAUAUAUAUACACAAAAAUGCAUUGAUUAGGAUGCAAAUUUGAUACAGAUUUAAGAAUCAUACAGUGUCAAGAUUCAUCAAUAGUGUGAAACAAUUUAUCAAUAAUAUGGCAACAUGCGACUGAUAUUGGAUUAGACA